RNAcentral lists this ribosomal RNA (774 nucleotides) under uncultured Neocallimastigales. Its description in RNAcentral is "partial large subunit ribosomal RNA". It matches the Rfam family "Eukaryotic large subunit ribosomal RNA", at positions 24 to 649 of the family's 3401-position model. Lineage: Eukaryota; Fungi; Neocallimastigomycota; Neocallimastigomycetes; Neocallimastigales. The record is from RNAcentral.
UACGACUACAUAUCAGGCAUAUCAAUAAGCGGAGGAAAAGAAACUAACAAGGAUUCCCUUAGUAACGGCGAGUGAAGCGAGAAGAGCUCAAAUUUGAAAUCUUCAAGGUUCUACCUUGACGAAUUGUAGUUUAAAGAAGUGUUUUCUGUUAGAUGAGUAGCAAAAGUUCCUUGGAAUGGGACAUCAUAGAGGGUGAGAAUCCCGUAUUUGGUUAUUCAUUCUAGCUUUGUGAUACACUUUCAAAGAGUCGGAUUGUUUGGGAAUGCAGUCCAAAAUGGGUGGUAAAUUUCAUCUAAAGCUAAAUAUUGGCGAGAGACCGAUAGCGAACAAGUACCGUGAGGGAAAGAUGAAAAGAACUUUGAAAAGAGAGUUAAACAGUACGUGAAAUUGUCAAAAGGGAAGCGUUUGACACCAGUGUUGUUUUUCCGAAAAUCAAUUACGAAUGGCUUGAUUCUGUGUUGUAUUGACCUUAUCAGCUUUCUGCACUUUUUUCGAGUCUUUCUUAAUGCACUUUUCGGUUAACAAGUCAACAUCAAUUUCUUUUGUUGUAAAAGAGUAUUCGGAAGGUGGCUUUCUUUUCGGAGAAAGUGUUUAUAGCCCUAUACUUCUACAAUCGGAGAGAUUGAGGUCUGCAGCGUAGAUCCUUCGGGGUUAGAUACAUUUGUGCUAAGUUGUAGCUUUUCAUAGACAACUUGUUGACUAUGUUUAGUCAUGCGGCUUACUCGCUUAUGCUAUUUUACCUACGCUUAGGAUGUUGAGUAGCGACAUACGCAC